RNAcentral lists this ribosomal RNA (459 nucleotides) under uncultured Anaerolineaceae bacterium. Its description in RNAcentral is "bacterial SSU rRNA". It matches the Rfam family "Bacterial small subunit ribosomal RNA", at positions 912 to 1382 of the family's 1533-position model. The record is from RNAcentral. Lineage: Bacteria; Bacillati; Chloroflexota; Anaerolineae; Anaerolineales; Anaerolineaceae.
GACGGGGGCCCGCACAAGCGGUGGAGCAUGUGGUUUAAUUCGACGCAACGCGAAGAACCUUACCAGCUCUUGACAUGUCAGGUCGGUUUCCAGAGAUGGAUUCCUCCCAGCAAUGGGCCUGAACACAGGUGCUGCAUGGCUGUCGUCAGCUCGUGUCGUGAGAUGUUGGGUUAAGUCCCGCAACGAGCGCAACCCUCGCUGUAUGUUACAUGUGUCAUACAGGACCGCCGGUAUCAAGCCGGAGGAAGGUGGGGAUGACGUCAAGUCCGCAUGGCCUUUAUGUCCGGGGCUACACACACGCUACAAUGGUCGGUACAAUGGGUUGCUAAGCCGCGAGGUGGAGCCAAUCCCCCAAAGCCGGCCUCAGUUCAGAUUGCAGGCUGCAACUCGCCUGCAUGAAGCUGGAGUUGCUAGUAAACGCGCGUCAGCUAUAGUGCGUUGAAUACGUUCUCGGGCCUU